CUGACAGCUCUCCCGGCCUGUCGGGGCAGGAGCCGCGGGGAGAUGAAAGGCCUGCCCUUCACGCUCCCCCAGGCCAGAGAGCGCACCCUCACACCAGCCGACUCUGCCUGCUGGGCUGGGGUUGACGGUGGGAGUGGGGGGACAACACCAAACGCUGACUUUGAAGUGAUCUCCAUUUUCCAUGGACAAUGUGCUCAUGUUUUUAAAAUUCUGUUGAGGCAUCCAAGCGUUCACUGCAGCACUAUUUACAAUGGCCAAGAUGUGGAAGCAAACUAAAGGUCCAGUGACAAAGCAAUGGAUGAAGAAAAUGUGGUACAGAUGCACAAUGGAAUAUUACUCAGCCACAAAAAAGAGUUUGCAAUAACAUGGGUGGACCUAGAGCUUGUCAUACUCAGUGAGACACAGAAACAAAAGCAACUACCCAAGAGAUCCUGAAGCGAGGAACAUGUCCAGCCAGGAGGAGAACCCAGCUCUUCUAAGGAUCCUGUAGUCUUCUCAGGAAGGCCACAGCCUCCACUGAGAACAGGCCAGUGCACGUGUUUCCCUAGUCAACAGAGAACCAGAAACCUCCCCUCUGCUAGGAGCUGGGGAGAGGAGCCAGCGAGGGGACUGGCUGAACAGCGGGUGCUGCAGGAUAACAGCUGGCUGUGUGCAGGGUUGUGAGAACACAUCUCUGCUUUGUGGUGUUUGCCAUCAUUUUCUAGGGCAUAAACGCUCCCACCAUGGCUGAUUUCAAGCUACCAGCAUUAUGCCACUGACUGCAGAGCUGGGAAGAAGUGAACACAAUCAGCUCUCGCGAGUUUGCACAAACUGGCUCCUGCACACCACUGGCCCAGGGUGAGGAAGGAGGAAGCCCUUCUGUGGAGCACAACUUGUCCCAGACUACGGGAGCCACGGACACCCCUUUAGGAGCAAGCUGAUGGUAUCUGGAGAGGAAAGAGGGCUGGGCUGAGAGGGAAGCGGAAGAGUACAGAUGAGAAAACACGAGUUGAGUCCAGACUUGCCCAUCAGGGCCCAGCACACAGUCACUGCCACUCAGACCCAAUCAGGUUCAGCCAGUUGGGUGUCCUGCUUCUAGCAACCACUCCUGAUUUGGCAAAUAUUUAUGUGGCAUGUUACUAAGGACGGCCUCCCAACACCCGAGGGUGAAAGGCCCAUGAGGCAACUUCUAGGGGAAAGGUCCCAGGAUUCCUACAACCCUGGGAAAAUAAGGUCCAGGGCCCAGUAGGAACUGCUAGACUAGGAGAUGAAGUUGGGGAUUUACCUGGACCAGCUCCCUGCCCCUCCUCAGCCCCUCUCACCAGCAUCCCUCUCAUGGCCAUGUGAAGCAACAAGCCCUCGGGAGGGGGUUGAAUCUUCUGCCUCCAUCCCCAAGGAACUUCAGCCUCUUGUUCAGUCACCAAGUUGUGUCCAACUCUUUGCAACCCCAUGGACUGCAGUAUGCCAGCCUUCACUAUCUCCCAGAAUUUGCU
Long non-coding RNA from Capra hircus (goat), 1472 nucleotides. RefSeq lists it as uncharacterized. Lineage: Eukaryota; Metazoa; Chordata; Mammalia; Artiodactyla; Bovidae. The record is from RefSeq and is a predicted model, not a curated record. The transcript is spliced from 3 exons.